UACGGGGGGAGCAAGCGUUGUUCGGAUUUACUGGGCGUAAAGGGCGCGUAGGCGGCGUGACAAGUCACUUGUGAAAUCUCCGGGCUUAACUCGGAACGGUCAAGUGAUACUGUCGUGCUAGAGUACAGAAGGGGCAACUGGAAUUCUCGGUGUAGCGGUGAAAUGCGUAGAUAUCGAGAGGAACACCUGCGGCGAAGGCGGGUUGCUGGGCUGAUACUGACGCUGAGGCGCGAAAGCUAGGGGAGCAAACAGG
RNAcentral lists this ribosomal RNA (253 nucleotides) under uncultured bacterium. Its description in RNAcentral is "partial 16S ribosomal RNA". It matches the Rfam family "Bacterial small subunit ribosomal RNA", at positions 524 to 776 of the family's 1533-position model. The record is from RNAcentral.